This 302-nucleotide ribosomal RNA is filed under the name uncultured bacterium. Its description in RNAcentral is "partial 16S ribosomal RNA". It matches the Rfam family "Bacterial small subunit ribosomal RNA", at positions 508 to 807 of the family's 1533-position model. The record is from RNAcentral.
GCAGUCGCCACGGUAAUACGAAGGGGGCUAGCGUUGUUCGGAUUUACUGGGCGUAAAGGGCGCGUAGGCGGGCUGAUAAGUCAGGGGUGAAAUCCCCGGGCUUAACCUGGGAACUGCGCUUGUGACUGCACAGCUAGAGUAUGGCAGAGGGGGGUGGAAUUCCACGUGUAGCAGUGAAAUGCGUAGAGAUGUGGAGGAACACCGAUGGCGAAGGCAGCCCCCUGGGCCAAUACUGACGCUCAUGCACGAAAGCGUGGGGAGCAAACAGGAUUAGAUACCCCAGUAGUCCCUGUCUCUUAUAC